This 738-nucleotide ribosomal RNA is filed under the name Enterococcus mundtii. RNAcentral's name for it is "bacterial SSU rRNA". It matches the Rfam family "Bacterial small subunit ribosomal RNA", at positions 51 to 760 of the family's 1533-position model. Lineage: Bacteria; Bacillati; Bacillota; Bacilli; Lactobacillales; Enterococcaceae. The record is from RNAcentral.
CUAUAAUGCAGUCGAACGCUUCUUUUCCCACCGGAGCUUGCUCCACCGGGAAAAGAGGAGUGGCGAACGGGUGAGUAACACGUGGGUAACCUGCCCAUCAGAAGGGGAUAACACUUGGAAACAGGUGCUAAUACCGUAUAACAAUCGAAACCGCAUGGUUUCGUUUUGAAAGGCGCUUUACGGUGCCGCUGAUGGAUGGACCCGCGGUGCAUUAGCUAGUUGGUGAGGUAACGGCUCACCAAGGCCACGAUGCAUAGCCGACCUGAGAGGGUGAUCGGCCACAUUGGGACUGAGACACGGCCCAAACUCCUACGGGAGGCAGCAGUAGGGAAUCUUCGGCAAUGGACGAAAGUCUGACCGAGCAACGCCGCGUGAGUGAAGAAGGUUUUCGGAUCGUAAAACUCUGUUGUUAGAGAAGAACAAGGGUGAGAGUAACUGUUCACCCCUUGACGGUAUCUAACCAGAAAGCCACGGCUAACUACGUGCCAGCAGCCGCGGUAAUACGUAGGUGGCAAGCGUUGUCCGGAUUUAUUGGGCGUAAAGCGAGCGCAGGCGGUUUCUUAAGUCUGAUGUGAAAGCCCCCGGCUCAACCGGGGAGGGUCAUUGGAAACUGGGAGACUUGAGUGCAGAAGAGGAGAGUGGAAUUCCAUGUGUAGCGGUGAAAUGCGUAGAUAUAUGGAGGAACACCAGUGGCGAAGGCGGCUCUCUGGUCUGUAACUGACGCUGAGGCUCGAAAGC